Long non-coding RNA from Seriola aureovittata, 1448 nucleotides. RefSeq lists it as uncharacterized. The record is from RefSeq and is a predicted model, not a curated record. The transcript has 3 exons. Lineage: Eukaryota; Metazoa; Chordata; Actinopteri; Carangiformes; Carangidae.
AAGUCAUGUGACCGCGGUGUAGUUGGCUGCUGGCGAUUGUAUUUAGGUGAUAUUCAUUUGUGAAAAUCUUCCUGCUGAACACAACUUAGAAUAAUGGAGCUUGAAGCUGAAGGGAAACAUCACAUUAAUGUGGAGGAAGCUGCUUCAAGCUCUCUAAAGUGAAGAGACAUGAAAGGAACAUCACUGUUACAGUUACAGGUGAGGAAUUCCUCUCUGCUUGGAGAUGGAAGGUAUAUGAUCACCAGCCAUAUGAUCAGAUGUCCCUCCUGGAGGCAAUGAAUGCCGGUUGCCUGGCAAUUGGUGCAGAGGACUGCCAGGGAUGGAUACGCCAUGCAGGGAGGUUUUUCCCCUCAGUCCAUUGCAAGGGAAAACAUCCAAAUACAGCGGUGAUGAGAACCUGAGGCUUUAUCAUCAGGACCAAAUGGACUAAAUGAAUCUGAUGCAGUGGAAUAAAACAUUUUUUCUCUAGUAUUUCUGGUUUAAUUCUUCAUCAGUUCUUUGGUGGAGAAAGAAUGCAGAACAAAAGCUGUACCAUACAUCUCUCUCACUGACUUUCCUGUCUCUCUCUCACUCUCUCUCUCACUAUUGGAAUCAAGGCAACGAAUAUCUUAAAAAGAAAAAAGUGAUGAACCCGGCUGGUUGUUAUUCAACGCUUUUAUCAUUUUACACUUUUAAAGUCACAAUUAGGCAAUGAACAACAAGUCCCAGCCAGGUUCAUCACUUAUUUGUGUCCCCUGGAAACACUUCCGCUGUGUUGUGUGUAUCUGCAGCGCAUGUGUUGUCAAAUUGAUGAUGUUUCCUGAAUUUGCAGCACAUUUGUGUAUUUGCAUGUGUUUUCUUAAGGUGCAGUGCAUUGAGCUCUCAGGGCCACUGUAGAAUAUAUUAAUUUGACAACAGGUUGUGUUGCGGUAAUACUUUCAUUCUUUCAUGGGACAUUUCAAUAUCAUAUGUUGAAAGCAAAUCAAGAAUUACAUCAUAUGAAUGACCUUUGUUAAAACAUUCCCAGUGAUUUUAAUGUCCUCCUCAAUCCUUUCAAACUUGGUUUACAAUCUGUGCAAGGAUACUACUGAGAGUAGUGCGCAACAAAAAUAAAUAAAUACAAUGAAACAUACAAAUGUUCAAUGAUGGAUUUUUUUUCAGUUUUAACAAAAUAUUUUACAGUGUGUUAUUGAAACUUUGUGAAGGUUUAAUUUCUUUUACCUUCCUCUUAAUAGUAAAGACUUCGAUAGACUGUGGGACUCAACCCCAAGUUCUGGUUCUGAAGACAUAAAUCCUUACAAACAGCUGAGAAAUAUAUAUCGUCUGUGCAUUUGUUGGGGACUGUUUUCAGCGAUGGAUUAAUCCACAUUUGCUCUGCUGAGUCAAAAUAAACUACAGUGUCUGUGUGUUCAUAGUAAUAGUAAGUCUUACUCAUGUUUUUGACAAACACAGUAGCUCUGUGGCACAGA